This 492-nucleotide ribosomal RNA is filed under the name uncultured bacterium. RNAcentral describes it as "partial 16S ribosomal RNA". It matches the Rfam family "Bacterial small subunit ribosomal RNA", at positions 29 to 507 of the family's 1533-position model. The record is from RNAcentral.
AGUGAACGCUGGCGGUAGGCCUAACACAUGCAAGUCGAACGGCAGCACAGUAAGAGCUUGCUCUUACGGGUGGCGAGUGGCGGACGGGUGAGGAAUACAUCGGAAUCUACUUUUUCGUGGGGGAUAACGUAGGGAAACUUACGCUAAUACCGCAUACGACCUACGGGUGAAAGCAGGGGAGCUUCGGACCUUGCGCGAUUGAAUGAGCCGAUGUCGGAUUAGCUAGUUGGCGAGGUAAAGGCCCACCAAGGCGACGAUCCGUAGCUGGUCUGAGAGGAUGAUCAGCCACACUGGAACUGAGACACGGUCCAGACUCCUACGGGAGGCAGCAGUGGGGAAUAUUGGACAAUGGGCGCAAGCCUGAUCCAGCCAUACCGCGUGGGUGAAGAAGGCCUUCGGGUUGUAAAGCCCUUUUGUUGGGAAAGAAAAGCAGCAGGUUAAUACCCCGCUGUUCUGACGGUACCCAAAGAAUAAGCACCGGCUAACUUCGUG